RNAcentral lists this non-coding RNA (23 nucleotides) under Arabidopsis thaliana (thale cress). The record is from RNAcentral. Lineage: Eukaryota; Viridiplantae; Streptophyta; Magnoliopsida; Brassicales; Brassicaceae.
CAAAUCUGUCGCGAAGGUGGACA